RNAcentral lists this ribosomal RNA (441 nucleotides) under uncultured bacterium. RNAcentral describes it as "partial 16S ribosomal RNA". It matches the Rfam family "Bacterial small subunit ribosomal RNA", at positions 338 to 795 of the family's 1533-position model. The record is from RNAcentral.
CCUACGGGAGGCAGCAGGGGGGAAUAUGGAACAAUGGGGGAAAAGAGGAGGAAGAGAAGCAGAGGGAGAGAGGAAGGAGGGCGGGAGGGAAAGGGAGAGAAGAAGGGACGAAAAAAGACGGUACCUGACUAAGAAGCCCCGGCUAACUACGUGCCAGCAGCCGCGGUAAUACGUAGGGGGCAAGCGUUAUCCGGAUUUACUGGGUGUAAAGGGAGCGUAGACGGCAAGGCAAGCCAGAAGUGAAAGGGCAGGGCUCAACCCUGUACAUGCUUUUGGAACUGUGGUGCUAGAGUGCAGGAGAGGUAAGUGGAAUUCCUAGUGUAUCGGUGAAAUGCGUAGAUAUUAGGAGGAACACCAGUGGCGAAGGCGGCUUACUGGACUGUAACUGACGUUGAGGCUCGAAAGCGUGGGGAGCAAACAGGAUUAGCUCCCCCAGUAGUC